UGGGGAAUCUUGCGCAAUGGCCGAAAGGCUGACGCAGCGACGCCGCGUGUGGGAUGAAGGUCUUCGGAUUGUAAACCACUGUCGGGAGGGACGAAGCUCUGACGGUACCUCCAAAGGAAGCACCGGCUAACUCUGUGCCAGCAGCCGCGGUAAUACAGAGGGUGCGAGCGUUGUCCGGAAUCACUGGGCGUAAAGGGCGCGUAGGCGGCCUGGUAAGUCGGGGGUGAAACGCUGCGGCUCAACCGCAGCA
RNAcentral lists this ribosomal RNA (250 nucleotides) under uncultured bacterium. RNAcentral's name for it is "partial 16S ribosomal RNA". It matches the Rfam family "Bacterial small subunit ribosomal RNA", at positions 355 to 620 of the family's 1533-position model. The record is from RNAcentral.